Acomys russatus (golden spiny mouse) is the source of this 349-nucleotide long non-coding RNA. RefSeq lists it as uncharacterized. The record is from RefSeq and is a predicted model, not a curated record. The transcript is spliced from 3 exons. Lineage: Eukaryota; Metazoa; Chordata; Mammalia; Rodentia; Muridae.
CUCACAAGGGACACACCUGGGCUGCCAUAUCGAUAACGUCACUGCGCUGCCGCUGACCGUGACAGUGACCGGGAGCAGCAGCACAACUGCUGUGCCCUGCAGUGAUGUACCUCUGGACCUAAAGUUAAUUGAGGUCCUGACCCCGCCCACCACGAAGGCUGAGUGCAAUGGAACAGCCGCAGCAAACCUGCACUGGCACGUGAACAGCCUUUUCACCCGUAGAUUCUUAUAUGACCUGCAGAUCAACAAGAGCAAUUUGAAGACUGAGGAGUCUAAUGUAAGUCAGGACUGAGCACCUGGCAAAGCAGAGCAUUAUGGGAGCUUUGGGUGGAGUAGGACAUGGGAAAGC